CUGGCCAUGCUGUCAGGGGCACUGAAUGUGCUGGCUGUUGUAGCAGGACUGAGAUGAGUGCUGAGAUUUGACCUGCCACCCCGCUCCUCCUGUUGUAAACAAAAAAGUCUUUUGGGGAAAUUCUCACAGUACAGUGGAGAAAGCACUAGUCAAAUCACAGGGAAUAAAGCAUGAUGGGAGAGGAGCUUUUGGGCAAACACCUACCUCACCUGAUGAUGAUGAUAAACACCAGUGGCUGGAAAUCUCUGUUGAGACCAAUGUCUGCUUGUAUGGAUCUUGAUCUCUUUCACCAAACCACUUUGCCAGGGACUCUGCAAAUGUAACUUUUGUGUUAAUAAAUAUUAAAGGCACUUCCA
RNAcentral lists this long non-coding RNA (356 nucleotides) under Cyanistes caeruleus (blue tit). RNAcentral describes it as "lncRNA (ENSCCEG00000015812.1)". The record is from RNAcentral. Lineage: Eukaryota; Metazoa; Chordata; Aves; Passeriformes; Paridae.